CAAUAGCGUAUAUUAAAGUUGUUGCGGUUAAAAAGCUCGUAGUUGGAGUUCUGCCAGGUGCCGCCUGUCCGCCCCAGUGGUGAGUACGUGGCGCGCAUUUGGCCCUUUCAAGGGGAGCGUAUCUGCACUUUAUUGUGUGGUGCGGGAUCCUUGGCUUUUACUUUGAGGAAAUAGGAGUGUUCCAAGCAGGCUCUCGUCGUGCACAGCUCAGCAUGGAAUAAUAGCAUUGGACCUCGAUUCUAAGCUGUUGGUUGCCAGAAGCGAGGUAAUGAUGAAGAGGGAUAGUUGGGGGCAUUCGUAUUUAACUGUCAGAGGUGAAAUUCUUGGAUUUGUUAAAGACGGACUACCGCGAAAGCAUCUGCCAUGGAUGUUUUCAUUGA
This 380-nucleotide ribosomal RNA is filed under the name uncultured eukaryote. RNAcentral's name for it is "partial 18S ribosomal RNA". It matches the Rfam family "Eukaryotic small subunit ribosomal RNA", at positions 592 to 976 of the family's 1831-position model. The record is from RNAcentral.